Molecule: unclassified non-coding RNA, 148 nt
Organism: Pongo abelii (Sumatran orangutan)
Lineage: Eukaryota; Metazoa; Chordata; Mammalia; Primates; Hominidae
Rfam family: Metazoan signal recognition particle RNA
About the family: The signal recognition particle (SRP) is a universally conserved ribonucleoprotein. It is involved in the co-translational targeting of proteins to membranes. The eukaryotic SRP consists of a 300-nucleotide 7S RNA and six proteins: SRPs 72, 68, 54, 19, 14, and 9.
Source: Ensembl
GCCAGACAUGGUGGUGCAUGCCUGUAGUCCCAGCUACUUGGGAGGCUGAGGCAGGAGGAUCACUUGAGCCCAGGAAUUUGAGGCUGCAGUGAGCUAUGACUGCACCACUGCACUCCAGCCUGGGCAACAGAGCAAGACCCUGUCUCCA